This 77-nucleotide ribosomal RNA is filed under the name Phaseolus lunatus (lima bean). RNAcentral describes it as "partial large subunit ribosomal RNA". It matches the Rfam family "Eukaryotic large subunit ribosomal RNA", at positions 1 to 77 of the family's 3401-position model. The record is from RNAcentral. Lineage: Eukaryota; Viridiplantae; Streptophyta; Magnoliopsida; Fabales; Fabaceae.
AGACCUCAGGUCAGGCGGGGCUACCCGCUGAGUUUAAGCAUAUCAAUAAGCGGAGGAAAAGAAACUAACAAGGAUCC